Molecule: long non-coding RNA, 399 nt
Organism: Ixodes scapularis (black-legged tick)
Lineage: Eukaryota; Metazoa; Arthropoda; Arachnida; Ixodida; Ixodidae
Exons: 6
Source: RefSeq, a predicted model, not a curated record
UCGGCGCAAGCCAUUUUCGGCACUCCGCCAAAACAUUCCGCGGGAGGCUGAUAACAAGCAAGCAAGACAACAUGCAUGUCACAGUCAUGGGAAACCUGGCCAUCGUUCUUCUACUAGUGUGCAUUGUGUCAAGUUAUGGGGCUUUUCCAAAGCAUUAUCCUUUUCCUGACUUUGGAAGUGAUAUUCCAUGUGAUCUCCCCUAUGAUCUCGGGAAAUCUUGCAAAAUCCACGCCGACUGCUGCAAGGAUUUGGUUUGUGAAAGUGGAUCUUGCCAGGUUCCCUGAACUGAAAUGGACUGCGGCGCCAGUGCUACAAAUGCUACAAUGAGGAAGAUUGGGAUGCUUCCAAGAAACGCUACGGUCUUGUAAUCUCAGAUUAAAUAAACAAUUACGCACCUCA